This is a long non-coding RNA of Saccostrea echinata, 1350 nucleotides long. RefSeq lists it as uncharacterized. The record is from RefSeq and is a predicted model, not a curated record. NCBI's taxonomy places the organism in Eukaryota, Metazoa, Mollusca, Bivalvia, Ostreida, Ostreidae. The transcript has 3 exons.
ACUAUUCUUUGGUUCCUGACUUAGUGUAAGUACAAUACAUAGUCCCCAGUGUGAGUACUAACACAGGGGCAGUCUACUAGAUCCUAGGUCACUCAACUGGAUCCUCCCUGGUUAGGAGUACUAUUCCUUAGUUCCUGACUUAGUGUAAGUACAAUACAUAGUCUCCAGUGUGAGUACUAACACAGGGGCGGUCUACUGGAUCCUAGAUCACUCUACUGGAUCCUCCCAGGUUAGGAGUACUAUUCCUUAGUUCCUGACUUAGUGUAAGUACAAUACAUAGUCCCCAUGUGAGUACUAACACAGGGGCGGUCUACUGGAUCCUAGGUCACUCUACUGGAUCCUCCCAGGUUAGGAGUACUAUUCCUUAGUUCCUGACUUAGUGUAAGUACAAUACAUAGUCCCCAGUGUGAGUACUAACACAGGGGCAGUCUACUAGAUCCUAGGUCACUCUACUGGAUCCUCCCAGGUUAGGAGUACUAUUCCUUAGUUCCUGACUUAGUGUAAGUACAAUACAUAGUCCCCAGUGUGAGUACUAACACAGGGGCGGUCUACUGGAUCCUAGGUCACUCUACUGGAUUCUCCCAGGUUAGGAGUACUAUUCUUUGGUUCCUGACUUAGUGUAAGUACAAUACAUAGUCCUCAGUGUGAGUACUAACACAGGGGCAGUCUGCUGGAUCCUAGGUCACUCUACUGGAUCCUCCCAGGUUAGGAGUACUAUUCUUUGGUUCUUGACUUAGUGUAAGUACAAUACAUAGUCCCCAGUGUGAGUACUAACACAGGGGUGGUCUACUGGAUCCUAGGUCACUCUACUGGAUCCUCCCAGGUUAGGAGUACUAUUCCUUAGUUCCUGACUUAGUGUAAGUACAAUACAUAGUCCCCAGUGUGAGUACUAACACAGGGGCGGUCUACUGGAUCCUAGGUCACUCUACUGGAUUCUCCCAGGUUAGGAGUACUAUUCUUUGGUUCCUGACUUAGUGUAAGUACAAUACAUAGUCCCCAGUGUGAGUACUAACACAGGGGCAGUCUGCUGGAUCCUAGGUCACUCUACUGGAUCCUCCCAGGUUAGGAGUACUAUUCCUUAGUUCCUGACUUAGUGUAAGUACAAUACAUAGUCCCCAGUGUGAGUACAAACACAGGGGCGGUCUACUGGAUCCUAGGUCACUCUACUGGAUUCUCCCAGGUUAGGAGUACUAUUCUUUGGUUCCUGACUUAGUGUAAGUACAAUACAUAGUCCCCAGUGUGAGUACUAACACAGGGGCAGUCUGCUGGAUCCUAGGUCACUCUACUGGAUCCUCCCAGGUUAGGAGUACUAUUCUUUGGUUCCUGACUUAGUGUAAGUAUUAUACAUAG